CUCCAGACUCCUACGGGAGGCAGCAGUAGGGAAUCUUCGGCAAUGGACGAAAGUCUGACCGAGCAACGCCGCGUGAGUGAAGAAGGUUUUCGGAUCGUAAAACUCUGUUGUUAGAGAAGAACGUUGAUUAGAGUGGAAAAUUAAUCAAGUGACGGUAUCUAACCAGAAAGGGACGGCUAACUACGUGCCAGCAGCCGCGGUAAUACGUAGGUCCCGAGCGUUGUCCGGAUUUAUUGGGCGUAAAGCGAGCACAGGUGGUUUAAUAAGUCUGAUGUAAAAGGCAGUGGCUCAACCAUUGUGUGCAUUGGAAACUGUUAGACUUGAGUGCAGUAGAGGAGAGUGGAAUUCCAUGUGUAGCGGUGAAAUGCGUAGAUAUAUGGAGGAACACCGGUGGCGAAAGCGGCUCUCUGGACUGUCACUGACACUGAGGCUCGAAAGCGUGGGUAGCAAACAGGAUUAGAUACCCUCGUAU
Molecule: ribosomal RNA, 472 nt
Filed under: uncultured bacterium
Lineage: Bacteria
Description: bacterial SSU rRNA
Rfam family: Bacterial small subunit ribosomal RNA
Source: RNAcentral